Molecule: long non-coding RNA, 308 nt
Organism: Polyodon spathula (Mississippi paddlefish)
Lineage: Eukaryota; Metazoa; Chordata; Actinopteri; Acipenseriformes; Polyodontidae
Exons: 3
Source: RefSeq, a predicted model, not a curated record
AAACAAAACGGACUACACAGACAAACACGGUUUCAGCCUCAUGAUUACACUGAUGUUAACCAUGUCCGGGUACUCUGCACAGCCGCCUCCAUUCAGUAUCUACAACUGCAUGUUUAAGAAGAAAUGGACUGGCAGUUUAAUCCAUCUAUAUAUGCUAAGCACACUGGACCUGCAGGGCGGUGCUAGUAGGCUUCAUCCUAGUCUGUGAAAGAACGCUCACAGCACCUUAGAGGGGAAAUAACUAUAUGGUGGAGCUCUGGUUGGCUGAGGACCAAUAACAAUGUAUCUGUUCAUGUUUAUCUGUUCAA